GGCCGGAUGCCCGAGUGGACCAAGGGAGCGGAUUGCAAAUCCGUGAUUCGUGGGUUCGAAUCCCACUCCGGCCU
RNAcentral lists this transfer RNA (74 nucleotides) under Phycisphaerae bacterium. RNAcentral describes it as "tRNA-Cys". It matches the Rfam family "tRNA". Rfam says of the family: Transfer RNA (tRNA) molecules are approximately 80 nucleotides in length. Lineage: Bacteria; Pseudomonadati; Planctomycetota; Phycisphaerae. RNAcentral also lists the same sequence under 2 other names. The record is from RNAcentral.